This 253-nucleotide ribosomal RNA is filed under the name uncultured bacterium. Its description in RNAcentral is "partial 16S ribosomal RNA". It matches the Rfam family "Bacterial small subunit ribosomal RNA", at positions 524 to 776 of the family's 1533-position model. The record is from RNAcentral.
UACAGAGGUCUCAAGCGUUGUUCGGAUUCAUUGGGCGUAAAGGGUGUGUAGGUGGCGCGCUAAGUCGGGUGUGAAAUUUCGGAGCUUAACUCCGAAACUGCAUUCGAUACUGGCGUGCUUGAGGACUGGAGAGGAGACUGGAAUUCAUGGUGUAGCAGUGAAAUGCGUAGAGAUCAUGAGGAAGACCAGUGGCGAAGGCGGGUCUCUGGACAGUUCCUGACACUGAGACACGAAGGCCAGGGGAGCAAAUGGG